UAACUUAUGUAAGUUCCGCGCUUCGAUUCUUUGGACGCUCAAAACCAUGAUGUCUUUCCAUUCAGGGCUCAGAUGCUGAUGUUUUUAGUUCCUCAAAACGGGCAUUGGAGUAAGAAGUGAAGGUAUGGCCACAUCAGGCGAAGCGUGGCGAGUGGAAACCGGUGACUACCUGGGAGAUGUCUCGGCCCUUUGUUUUCUGCAUUGUCCAUGGGAGUCAUCUGUUCCUUAUCUACUAGCAGGCACAGGAGCACAACUCUUUGUAUAUGACAUCGAGCAUGGAAAAUUGCUUUCUUCAUCCCAUGUAUUUGAUGGUAUUCGAGUGCAUGGAAUUCAUUCAUCUUGUUAUUUACUUAAAGAUUUUGACACUUCCACUUGUGUAAGGAUUUCUGCGGUCACUGUUGCAGUUUUUGGGGAAAGAAGAGUCAAAUUAUUUGAUGUACAUCUUAGAGGAAAAUCGGGUAGCAAUAAUAAGCUUAAAGGGCAUAUUAGUUUGGAUUUGUUACAGGUCCUGCCUACCUUUGGUCAUUGGGUCAUGGAUGUUCGAUUUCUGAAGGGGUUAGACAAAGGGGCCUUGAAGCAGAAUUAUGGGACUGAAGAAAAGAUUAUUGGCAGUUUGCUUGCUAUUGGCCUAAGUGAUAAUUCUGUUUAUCUCUGGGAUAUUGGUCAAUCAUGUUGUGUGCUUGAGGUGAAAUGCGCAGAGAGGUGCCUUUUGUAUUCUAUGAGUUUGUGGGGUGACUCAGUAAAGACUCUUUGUAUUGCAUCUGGUACGAUCUGUAACGAGAUUCUGAUUUGGAAAAUUGUUUCCCAACAAACUGGUGCUGGUGAAGUAAGUUUAGAGGUGCCACCUUGCACUGACACUGAUACUGAGUGCACAAAUAAAAUAUGGCAUAUUCAACAUAGUUCUCUUUUAUUGAAUAGACUCACUGGGCAUGAGGGAUCAAUUUUUCGAAUUGCAUGGUCACAUAAUGGAUCAACACUUAUCUCUGCCUCUGACGAUCGCAGUGCCCGUGUAUGGAUAUGCAACUUCACUGGGACAGAUAUUCAUGAUGCAUGGACAACAUCUUAUCCUACCAUAGUUGCAGGACCAAUACUUUUUGGUCACAGUGCUCGUAUUUGGGAUUGCUACAUCUCUGAUGUACUAAUUGUUACAGCCAGUGAGGAUUGCACAUGCUGCAUUUGGCAACCAAAUGGAGAACAUGUUACGACUAUCAGGGGACAUAUUGGAAGAGGUGUUUGGCGAUGUGUAUAUGACCCAGGAACCUCUAUUCUCAUAACAGCUGGAUCAGAUUCUUUAAUAAAGAUGCAGUGUCUGACAAAGCAGACUGUGAAACACAUGUUACAUACAACUGUAAAGGAUAAUUAUGUCGAUGACAACAUGGAGAUCUUCAACAUUUGUUUGCUAGGAGAUGUAACAUUGGAAAGUCCUGAUUUUAUGGAUAGUAAGAGUGAAUAUGUGAGAUGCUUACAAUUAGCUCAAGAAAGAUGUCUGUAUGUUGCAACCAACCUGGGAUUUCUACAUUGCAUUGACUUGACUGUGCCUGGGGAGGAAAAAUGGACUACUAUAGUCAAGAGUGAUGAUAAGGUGCCCAUUGUUUGCUUGGAUUUACUUGUCUUGAAGUCCCCCAAAUCCCCAGAAUUUCAAGAAGAUUGGGUUGCAAUAGGUGAUGGUAAAGGAAGAGUGACUGUUGUCCAAGUUAUAUCUAGUAAUCUUAAGCACGAGGUCUCAAGCACUUUUGUGUGGUCAUCUGAACGACAAAGGCAACUUCUAGGGAUUUACUGGUGUAAGUCCUUGGGAAAUAGGCAUCUUUUCACAACAGAUCCCAAAGGAAGAAUAAAACUGUGGAGGUUGAGGCACCCAUCUAGAGAAUUAAUUCAAUCACGUGAAAUGGUUGAAGGGAAUCUUCCAGAGGAGGCCCAGGCAUCUUUAAUUGCCGAGUUUGUCUCAAACUUCUCAGCACGUAUUGUUUGCAUGGAUGCAGAUAUUGAAAAUGAGUUACUUGUUUGUGGUGAUCAACGAGGGAAUCUUGUUGUUUUUAAGUUGUCCACGAAACUGCUUGCACUUGAUCUUAAUGACACGAUUUUGCGAGAAACGUUUCAAGCAUAUUGCUCAUUUAAAGGAGCUCAUGGCAUAUCUAGUGUGGUUAGCAUCUCAGUUGCAAGAUCAAAUGGAAAUCAAAUCCAUAUUUGUUCGACAGGCAAGGAUGGAUGUAUCUGUAGCUAUAUAUUUGAUGAUGACACUGCCCAAGACUCAAAUAAAUUGAUAUUCACUGGAAUUAAAGAUGUACCAGAAAUUACUAUGGUUGAAGGUGUUGUUAAUUACAUAAAUGUCAUGGGAGAUGGGAUUCAAAGGAGUUUUGCAGCAGGUUUUACAUCUGUAGACUUUCUUUUAUGGGACAUAACAAAUGAGUCCGAGCUUUUACGAGUUCCUUGUGGGGGCUGGAGAAGGCCUCAUUCAUAUUUCAUUGGAGUGAUGCCAGAAAUUCAGAAUUGUUUUGCCUAUUUAAAGGAUCACACGAUUUAUGUACUCAGAAAUUGGGUUCCGAAUGAUCAAAUAAAACUUUCUCCUCAAUCUUUACACACACAGUUUCAUGGGAGGGAGAUUCAUUCGGUUCAUUUUAUUCCCAUGCUGUCUAGCUUGUUUUGUAGUCAGAAUAAUCUUUCUUGUCCCAAAACGAGCUGGAUUGCUACAGGGAGUGAAGAUGGAACUGUACGCAUAACAAGGUAUUCCUCGAAGCAGAUGGACAAGUUGAGCCUAUCCUUAUUGCUUGGGGAACAUGUGGGUGGAUCAGCAGUAAGAUCAGUUACCAUUGUCUCAAAGAUUUAUCCUUUAGAAUUGGAUGGUCAUAGAAUACAAGAUAGUCAUAGUUGCAGCAUGGAAAACAAAGAUAGUUUAUUGGUGUUGCUAUCUGUUGGAGCCAAGCAAGUUUUAACAAGUUGGUUGCUGAAAUGGGUAAAUGAAAGUGAUGAUGGCUAUGAGAACGAACUAUCUAAUAAAUUGGACCCUGCAUGCACAUCAAAUUUUGAAAAAUAUUCAUCAGAGAGAAACCAUAAAAUUUCUUUCCAAUGGUUGAGUACAUACAUGCAACCAAGAUUUCACAAACCUCCUAAGAACCUGGGAGGUGGAGAAAAGCAGAGUCAUACAAAUGGUACUAUUCCUAGAAUAGUGAUACCAGAAGCUCUCAUGGAGCAUGCAUCAGAACAAGAUGGAAGUGGCGGAGAAAAGUUGAAGCCUAUCAUUGAUCAGGAGACUCAAGAUGACUGGAGGUACUUAGCAGUGACAGCUUUCAUGGUGCAUGUAACUGACCCCAGGUCAGUUGUCUGCUUUGUUGUAACUGCGUGUUCAAAUGCCACUCUUACCGUGCAAGCUCUCCUACUGCCAGAUCGUCUCUGGUUUGAGGUGGCUGUUUUGGAUCACGAGAGGGCACUGAUUUUAGCUUUACAGCAUGUUGUUAUUCCUGUCUACCAUCGUGGUUCUGACAGCACACAGAAUACGUUCCUGGUAUUUGGUGGAGCAACAACAGGGAGCAUUGUAGUGUGGGACCUGACAGACAUAGUGAAUGAUUUCACUUCGAAAAUUUCUUCUCUCAAUCCUGGAAAAGAUAUUGUUGCCCAACGGCGCCCACGAACAGGCAGAGGUAGUCAAGGUGGCCGUCGUUGGAGGUUUUUAAGGAACCAAAAUGGGAAUUCAAAAGAUACUGCUAGUAGAUCAGAUGCUGUACAUAUUGCAAUUUCCAAGCCAUUAUCAGACACAUUGCUGUCAGAAGAUGUGAGAGAGGAGAUCUCUCUGAAUACUUCAGUUAACAGAAGUCAGUUUACAUGCUCUGAGGAACAGGACCCAGAAAAUGAAUUAGAGGUUGCUAAAAAAUAUAAAAAGGGCUCUUUGAAGUGUCCAACUGAAUGUGAUACAAAUCCUGAUACAAGAGGCAGUCAUGAAGUGACAUCAAUGGGAAGGCUGCAUGAUGAAAUACAAAAGUUACAUCCUUUACAUGUAUUUGAUCAUGCUCACCAGUCUGGAGUCAACUGUCUCCACAUCUCGACUUUAAAUGGCAAUGAGAUGCUGAACACAGAGAAUUCGGAUCUGCUUUACUGUGUUGUUAGUGGAGGGGAUGAUCAAGCUCUACAUAUUGCAAGCUUUAAGUUGCAUGUGCAAGAAACUGAGAAGAAAAGCUUGGAUGCGCCUAUAUAUAAUGAGAGGAAAGAACCUUGUGCUUACAGUAGAAUUCAACAUUGUAGACUAGCUGAGCAAAUUAUUGGAAAUACCACAUCAAACACAACAGAUGACAAGACUCCAGGACUUAGAGUUGCAUACAAGUUCACUUGCUUAAGUCAAGAAGUAAUCGGCUCUGCCCACAGCUCAUCUAUUAAAGGUGUGUGGACAGAUGGGCACUGGGUUUUUAGCACUGGUCUAGAUCAACGCAUUCGUUACUGGCGCUUUUCAUGUCUCAAUGAAAUUUAUACUAUCAGAGAGCAUUUUAGCUCAAUUAUUAAUGUUCCAGAACCUGAAGCAUUACAUACUAUAGUUCAUGAAAAAAGAACCCAUUAUCAGAUUGCUAUAGUUGGAAGGGGCAUGCAAAUUGUUGAAUUUUCAAAUAACAUUGAGAUUCAAGAUACACAUGAAGAUGCCGAGAACCUGAGAUAUAAUUGAGAAUUGUUUUCCUGUAAGUAUUUUCUGUAAACAUGGGUAUAGGAGGUUAGUGGUAACACAAUGAAAUUCUUAAAUUGCUUUAGAGAAUUUAAAGAAUAAAUUUGAUUGGAUUUUAUGGUUUUAGUAAAUGGGAUCCUUUGAUCUGAGAGAACUGUUGGUUGGAAACUUGGUUUGUUGAAGCUUCAUAAGUGUUAGUGAAGUUUCUGCUAUUCAUUAUGAUGGUAUUUUCACUGAGAGACUGAGAGUCUUCUUACAACUUUUCACACUCUUGUCUUUGCUGUAAAAGGUACAUCUUGAGCAACUACAUUUCACAUCAUCAGUUUUGAACCAGGACUGGCAUUACAGGUUUUUUUUGACACCUAUCACAUCAAAGCUCUCUUGUUAAAUACAAAGAGGUUAAUUAUUAGAUCUGAACUUGAGUUGGCUAGUAUGCACAGUCUAUAUUUCUCUUAACCUUUAUUUUUGUAAGCAACAGAUAUAUAUUUCUAGUCACUAAUGUUCUAGUAUUUACCACUUCCACAUCCAACACAUAUAUUCCUAGAUCUUGCUGUCAUCCACUGAUCACAUUAAUUCCUUAUUUCUCUUUUUUAAAGCACCACUCCACUCUUCCUUGUCUUUAACUUCACUAUUCCUUCAGCCGUUUUCUGAGCGCUUACCAUGUCUGAGUUUGAUCAUCAAAGUGUCAUAGGGGCAGAAAUGAUCUUAAUUCUCUGACAACACAUUACUUCUAUAAUGAAGCUCUUGAGUAGAAUGAGAGUCCUUAGGGACUACACUGCCUACUUUGGUAGGUCAUUCUCCUUUCACAGCAUUCUGAAACCAUGCAAGUUUGUUCUGUUCAGAGCUUCUUUUAAGCCACUAGGAGGAGACAGCAAAGAAAUUAAAAUAGAUUGGGUGAGCAUUGAUGCUGCUGUUAUUGUUGAUAGCAUUAUUGGUAAGACUUAUAGCAAGGGCGCUAAUCCUUUUCCACCCUUCAUUCAACCCCUCACUGUUGCUCUGUCCUCUCCUGAACUCUUCAAGCAUUCUAGGUUUGAUUCCCAUUGCAAAAUCUUAACUUGAGCUCAUCAUUCCAAAUUUUCUGGGUCCACUAUUUGUGCCUCAUUAUUUCUGCCAAUCAUAUUCCAACCAACUCUAUCAAGUUAAUCUAGAUUUUUCUACAGAUGUAAUUCUACAAGGAGCUCAAGGCAAUAUAAUGAUUCUAUAAAUUGGCAUACUAGAAGGGAAAGGUGAACAAAAAGCUGGUAAUAUGUCCCUAUGUUCAUUACUACGAGAGACAUGAGAUAAAGAAAAGAUCUGAAUCUGCAAUUAAUAAAAGAGCAAGGAAGUGAGGAUAACUUACUUAAGAAUAUUUUUGUAGAUGAUGAUGAACAUCUGGCUGAUUAUGGAAAGCAGGGGCGUCUCUCUACUCUGCUGCAUCUCCAAGCAUUCCCCAUCCCAAAGAUGCAAAUCUAACCCAGGUAAUGGUGUCUGCUCCUGUCCAAAAUAUGACUUCCGGAUCACAUCACCCUAAGGCUCGUCAGUGUCAACAAAUUUUAUCUGUCUUUCUAGCUUUUAACUUUAGUGCUAAAGCCUGAGCUUCUGUAGCCCCUACUUUCACCAGGUUUGGACUUAAUGCCUAUUGAAGUUACCCUUUUAAAUCUCCCAUCCUUCUACUCCCAUUUUCAGUCUAUCUACCAGCAUUCCAGCCCAUCUACCACUAAGGUUACUCAGAUCUUUAAACCCCAAAACACUUGCUCUAACCCUGUGAACCCUAUGAAAUUUGUAAAAAACAAUCCCAAUCUUCAUGCUAUUUUAGAUGAAACUGCUGAUACAAUUUAUAUUCAAAGCAGGAACUUCCAGAUAAAAGGGCUGUAAAACCCUUAUUGUGAAGUUGGGCUAGUGAGACUUGUUUAUGUGGAUGGGAACAGUAAAAAAAAGAAAACCUCUGAACUUACAUAGAGAGACCAAAUGUGAUCAUUGAGCAACAUGAGUAGACCGUACAGCCCAUCAAUUCCCUUUAUGUCAAAGAAUGCAAAAAGAAGGAUCAUUGAAAUAAUUCAAGAGAAGCUGAACUCCCAUCACUCCUAGAGAGACAAGCUACAGAGGAAAAAGCGCAAUCAAUGCCCCAUGAGGGGCACCACUUGGCAGUAUCCUUCCAUGUAACAGCACACCACAUGGCAUCUACCUCCUGGCAGCAGCAGUACACACUCGAGGAAAGUCACUAUAACUACAAAUGGAUUUCCUUUUUCUGCUAAUCAAUGAAUACUACUACCGACUUCAAUUUUGUAUGUCUGUCACUUUCACCUUGCAAGAUUCUAUUCUAAUCCGGAAGGGUACUUGUUAGCAAAUAGUAGUGCAUAUGCAUUUAACUUUGUAAGCUUUGUGUAUGCAUAUAACUUUGUAAGCUUUUGCAUAAUCUGGUCGAUGUAUUCACCUAUAUCAUAUUGUGCCUUUCUAUUAGCAAAACAAUGCCAUUUUCAAUGCAAAAAUCAGCUGGGCAGUGAGCAUAGUCCUUUGCAGCCAGCCCACCCUGCCUUACCAAAAGUUUCUGCAAUUUUCAUGUAAUCUCUCUGGUUUUGUCCUUGUCAGGCACUUGGCUGAUUGUUGCUUUCUAGGCGGAAACUAUUGAAUAACAUAAUUAAAGGAUACAAUAGUGUUCAAACUAGAAACUGUUCUGUAAGGAUCCUGUUUCUCAUGAAACUGAGGAGAAAUGGCAACUUGAAUGUUCUAUUAUACUGGAUUGAUGAAUGAAUUUCUAUGCCACCAUUAUGAUGAAGUUGGGUUGGAGAGAGCACCAAGGAAAAUAUAAUUCUGAUCUUAUUUGAUUGAGAUAAUGAUAAACAGAUUUUUCAGUUGGAAUAAAAAGUCAAUUUUGUGAUCUUUGCUAUCAAAUAUUCUGUAUCAUAUGCCCAAUUGUAUACUUAAAUAAGGAGAUUCAUGUCUUUUGUGAUCUCACCCUCAUGUACGGGACAUGCCAUUUGGCUUGUUCACUAAAUUCACCCUCAAUAAUUAUUUCAAUUAUAGAUCUA
RNA transcript from Cryptomeria japonica (Japanese cedar), 7650 nucleotides. RefSeq lists it as uncharacterized. The transcript is spliced from 22 exons. NCBI's taxonomy places the organism in Eukaryota, Viridiplantae, Streptophyta, Pinopsida, Cupressales, Cupressaceae. The record is from RefSeq and is a predicted model, not a curated record.